UUUGAGAUAGUUAAACAGUAAAUUGAGUAUUGUGCAGUGUCAUGGCGUCUGAGUACAUUCCUACUGAUGGUAAUUUGCAAGCCAAAAGAUGAAUCAAGUCAAAUAGGCAAGGAUGAGGAGUAACUGAAAUGUUAAUUAAACAAAGACUCAGAUGUCCUUAUGAUUUAUGAGAUAUACUGAACGCAUUUCAUCUAACGAGGUACCUAUACUAUAGGGUUAGUUCACAAGAGAUUGAUUUAAUGCAAUUCCUGUUGUUUAUAUUGAUAUCGUCAUAUGCAUAAGUCAACAAACACCCCAAAUAAUAUGUAUAAAAAAAAUGAGAGAACACCUUAAUGAAAUUGAAGGAGACAUGAUCUUAACUUCGUAAAAAAAGAAGUGUCCAAAUAGCAAGCCCAUAGAAUCUAACAAAAAAGUUAUGGCCCGAUAUAGUGUGAAAUAGAAAAACAAGAUUCAUACAGCCAGACUGUAGAAUAGUAAAAACGUCACAUUGUUAUUCAGGUUCAUUCUUGUCAAAUGCUUCAUGAAAAUAACAAAGAAUAAUAUUCCCAUAUAAGCUAACAACAGCCAUAAUAAAUGUUAAUUAAACAAGAAUAAUAUUCUUAUUAACCAUAAAGUUAUGGCCCGAUAUAGUGCAAAAUAGAAAAACAAGAUUCAUACAGCCAGACUAUAGAAUAGUAAAAACAUCACAUUGUUAUUCAGGUUCAUUCUUGUCAAAUGCUUCAUGAAAAUAACAAAGAAUAAUAUUCCCAUAUAAG
RNAcentral lists this long non-coding RNA (755 nucleotides) under Actinidia chinensis (golden kiwifruit). RNAcentral describes it as "long non-coding RNA (ACHI_LNC004514)". Lineage: Eukaryota; Viridiplantae; Streptophyta; Magnoliopsida; Ericales; Actinidiaceae. The record is from RNAcentral.